RNAcentral lists this unclassified non-coding RNA (1418 nucleotides) under Hevea brasiliensis (rubber tree). Lineage: Eukaryota; Viridiplantae; Streptophyta; Magnoliopsida; Malpighiales; Euphorbiaceae. The record is from RNAcentral.
UUACAAAUUAGUUAAAUCUUCCUCACUAGCAUUCACACAACCUAUACUUAGCUUAUCCAUCCUUUCACGGGUCUUUAAACUUGCUCCUAGCUUUUCACCACUCCACUCCACGUCCAGAGUUUGUUUGGCUCAACACCCUUCGGCCCGCGCCCAAGGGCUACGAAACUUAUAAAAAUUACCCUUUUAUUAAUAUUGAAAAGACUAGGACGUGUACGGUCAAUGCCUAUCAAUCAGCCAGAACAAUCUAGUGCGCCCGAAUGCAACGUUCCAAUAGUUUACUCGGUCCAUUUUAUGUAGCUUAAUUAUAUUGCCUCACUUCAGCGAAGAGAAGUUGGGUAACAAUAAAUAUAUAUGUAAACGAGGCUUUGCAAGUCUUCUUUAACUUCCAGCGGAAUCUUCCCCAGGAAAUUCCAAACCGCCAUAAUCUGUCAACAUACCAUGGCAGAUCAUAACAACCUUUCAGCUGCGAUAACUAAGUUGAUUUUGAACCAAUUUCAAUGAAGGACGGACGCAAAAAGUUUCAAGAAAUAUACCAAGAAAUCAUUCAGAAUGCAGCUCCAAGUUUAGCAUAUAAUCGAUAGCAUCGAGGUACGCAACUCAACUACUUAAACUGGACAAGUAUUUCAAGGAAGGCAACAAUUAUCAAUGCGAAAAUGAAAAGCUCCUAUUACUCGACUAUGUAUUUGAAAUGCUUUCCUACCUUUCUUAUAGCUCUCUACAAAUAUGAAUAACCAGAAAUUGAUAAACUAUAUCUAGACCUUCAAAAGACGGGAAAUUUGCCAUGCAGGUAAAACAGAAACUAUAGGAAAAAGAAGCUAGAAACUACCAAGAGAAUCAUAUAAGAAUACAAAAGCCAAGAAAACAAGAACCCUAAACACAAACUUAUGGGGAAUGAAAACCUGUCAGGAGCCAAACACUAAAUGGAAGAUGCAUCAUAAAAAUACUGAUUUGAGGCAGCCCACCCAAACCCAUCACUAUUGAAGAAUACCAUGACUGCUCCAUCCCUCUGACAAAUAUUGAGGCUUUAAACAAGCAAGACAGCUGCACAAUAGCAAUCCAUGGCCCAACGAACAUUCACAGCAAUUAGCUCCAUAUUCUACUCUCAAGCAACAAAACUUCAGAUAAACCUUAAAUCAAUCCCUACUACUGGGAAUGGUAACAGCUAACAAACAUUGACAAUCCCAUCUGCUACAUUCCGCUUGUCUGAAGCAAGUGGCUUACUUGCCUUAGAGGCAUCUUCUCCAGCUUUUGCAACUGGCCCAUUCUCUGAAUGCUUCAGGUCCCCAUUGGACGGGGCAGUUGAAAUGGAUUCCUGGGCCACAUCACUCACGACCUCCAAUGCAUCGCGUGAUCCAUUUGCUACUUCUUUCUUCUCAUCUUCAAGCUUUCCUUCCAAUACCUGUUUCUGGAACUGCUGU